Long non-coding RNA from Gallus gallus (chicken), 484 nucleotides. RefSeq lists it as uncharacterized. The record is from RefSeq and is a predicted model, not a curated record. Lineage: Eukaryota; Metazoa; Chordata; Aves; Galliformes; Phasianidae. The transcript has 3 exons.
CUGCACGCCACGCGCGUCACUUCCGCCAGGCGUACUACGUCACUUCCUGCACGGUGACCGGCUGCUCCGAGGGGCGGACGAGCGGGCAAAUAUAGGGGGCGGGGUGAGAGGUUGUGUCUGAUUAGCUGAGAAGAGCAACGUUGCGCAUCCUCUUUAAAAGUAGAAGCAGCAUCAGGAAAGUUUUGCUCUGUUUCCUCAUGCUUCCUCAAGCUUGGAGUACAAGCAGUGAAACGGCUGGAGUACAAGCAGCGAGUCAGAAAAUCACAUCAGAAUUAAAAAUAUCUCAAAAUGACAUAAAAUGUGCAGCAUAGUUUUACAGAGAAAAUAUCCAUGGUAUUGCACAGAUGUGAAGCUUCAAAAGGAAAGGACAUAAUCUUGCUAGGAGAAACAACAUAUGGAACAGCGUAGCUCAUUUAUCAAGGUACAUUAAAAAUCCCUAAUUUAUUGUUCUCUGUAAUUUGUUCAUGUCGUUUACCACUGUAUU